AUGAACGCUGGCGGCGUGCCUAAUACAUGCACGUCGAGCGAACAGACGAGGAGCUUGCUCCUCUGACGUUAGCGGCGGACGGGUGAGUAACACGUGGAUAACCUACCUAUAAGACUGGGAUAACUUCGGGAAACCGGAGCUAAUACCGGAUAAUAUAUUGAACCGCAUGGUUCAAUAGUGAAAGACGGUUUUGCUGUCACUUAUAGAUGGAUCCGCGCCGCAUUAGCUAGUUGGUAAGGUAACGGCUUACCAAGGCAACGAUGCGUAGCCGACCUGAGGGGGUGAUCGGCCACACUGGAACUGAGACACGGUCCAGACUCCUACGGGAGGCAGCAGUAGGGAAUCUUCCGCAAUGGGCGAAAGCCUGACGGAGCAACGCCGCGUGAGUGAUGAAGGUCUUCGGAUCGUAAAACUCUGUUAUUAGGGAAGAACAAAUGUGUAAGUAACUAUGCACGUCUUGACGGUACCUAAUCAGAAAGCCACGGCUAACUACGUG
This 496-nucleotide ribosomal RNA is filed under the name uncultured bacterium. RNAcentral's name for it is "partial 16S ribosomal RNA". It matches the Rfam family "Bacterial small subunit ribosomal RNA", at positions 29 to 507 of the family's 1533-position model. The record is from RNAcentral.